RNAcentral lists this transfer RNA (66 nucleotides) under Snellenius radicalis. Its description in RNAcentral is "tRNA-Phe". Lineage: Eukaryota; Metazoa; Arthropoda; Insecta; Hymenoptera; Braconidae. The record is from RNAcentral.
AUUUAAAUAGCUUAAAUCAAAGUUUAAUAAUGAAAAUAUUAAGAUAAUUUAUAAAAUUUUUAAAUU